This is a long non-coding RNA of Hypomesus transpacificus, 1748 nucleotides long. RefSeq lists it as uncharacterized. The record is from RefSeq and is a predicted model, not a curated record. The transcript has 3 exons. NCBI's taxonomy places the organism in Eukaryota, Metazoa, Chordata, Actinopteri, Osmeriformes, Osmeridae.
UCGUCACUGUUGGUUUUGUUUGUUUUUAGUAUAGGGCUGGGGCUGGGCCUGGGUUUGACCAUUUAGAAGGCUGGGUUUUGAUCUGAUUCAUUCUGUUUACUUUGCAACACACUAGGAAGUUUGGGAGUGAUGCAUUAACAGAGUGGUGUCACACGUCAGCAAGAUCAGAGAAGUCGAUUCACCAUGCCAACUAUCCUGCUGGAACAUUCCAUGGUAGGGAACAACCAACCGGCUCUCUCUCUCCUCUGCCUAUAUCUACACUCCUGUCCUGAGAGGACCUCAGACUGUGGCUAGGUCAUGCUGGACAUCCUCAGAAGCCUUGCAGAGACCUCACCAUAACACAGCACCUUCCAAUAACUGUGUGUGAAGACCACAAUACAACUCCGAGAUAACUCCUGUCAGCAGAAGGCAAGACAACAAGCUAUCAAGGCUGAGAGAUGCGACUCCUGCUCUGUGGUGUCCUCGCGGUCCUUCUCACAGCCUCCUCAUGUGGCCCUGUUUUUGAAGGGUCUGGGGACCAGAGUGGCUCAUUGCUUGAUUGGCUGAAAUUGUUUCAGUGGCAACCCUCUGAAGUAGUCUCCAAUCACAUCUAUGGAAGGGAGCCAAGAUACUGGAAAUCUUCCGAAUCUUCCGAAUCCUCAGAAUCUUCUGAAUCUUCAGAAUCUUCAGAAUCUUCAGAAUCUUCAGAAUCUUCAGAAUCUUCCAAAUCUUCAGAAUCCUCAGAAUCUUCAGAAUCCUCAGAGAUCACGGCAAAACCACUGACUCCUAAACCCACAGUUCCAGUGACCCGUCCCACUUCUGCCACAACUGCCACUACAACAAGAACCAGGCCAGUCACCAAUUCAACAAUGUCACCGACCCCCACACCUUCCUCCACAACAAUGUCACCGACCCCCACACCUUCCUCCACAACAAUGUCACCUACCACUGCAGAAAUGUCCACUGAGGGACCUCUGGAGACUCCUUCACCAGGGACAACAGCUGGCAUGACGACCAACGGUGUGACAGAUGAGAUGCCGACACCUGCUCCUGUCACAGAGAGCAGAGGGGACAACUGACAUGGGACUCAUCGGGAGACCAAUCAGAGAUCAGGGUAAAACAACAAACUGAAUAUAAAGCUGUCGUUUUCCUCAACAGCCUGAUUGUGUCAUGCUCUGCCCUACGUGUCCCAUCUAACUUAUUAAACUUGUAUCCAACUGAAUUGGUCCCACAGAUACUGAGUGAAUCAAAGGGCCAAGGCUGUUGUAAUUGUAUUGAUUGCACUGAGGAAGGUAAAGGUGCUUCCUGUCAUGAAGUAUCUUACCAGUGGGUUCUAUAUGAUGUGAUGUCAGACCUGUUCUGAUCUUCAUGUUGACACAGGUUACUGGGAGAUGAGUGUGGAGUUGUCUGUACAUGUAUGUUGGGCGUGGAACUGGGCCAGGAGUGGGAUUACUUGGAGGGAGCAUGGAGGGGACUGUACCAUUUGUAAAGGGGUUUGGUUUCAAACCCAGACCAUAAGAGCUAAGCUUGUGACUACUGCUGGAGGGGACGACUGCAUCUGUGAGUUCUGUUUCCUCAUGCUGCCUGCUGAGUUGUGGAUGUGUUCUAGGUCUGUGCUCCUCUCAUCUCACCCCUGAACAGAUAAACACACCCAGGAAGUCUUCAGUGUCUUCUCUUGUUUUAAAAAAGAAAGGAUUGAAAGAAGACUGUUACUUUGUAAUGCUGCAUUUGAAUGUAAUAAAGGCGAACAAAAAAAACAUUUGUUUUCA